GUUGGAAAAACGCGAUUGAUGGUUCAUCUAAACUUUCUAUUUUCUGCAGAUGUUUUGCGAGGAACGUGGCUUAUUUUUGGAAAUAGCUGAUAUUAUAAGAGGAUUGGGCUUGACUAUCCUGAAGGGGGUGAUGGAAACAAGGAACGACAAAAUAUGGGGAAAAUUUGCUAUAGAGGCUGACACAGAUGUCACAAGGAUGGAGAUAUUCAUAUCACUCGUUCGCCUCUUGGAGAAAACAACAAAAGGUGGAACAGAACUUGUCAAUGCUAUCAAUAACAACACAGCAAUAGUGCAUUCAUUCCACCAAGUAACGAUAUUACCUUCAACCGGUACAUCUUGUAGUUUGUUGUGAUCAACAUGUUACUACUGGUUCACCCGGUAAUGUUAAGAGAAAGCGACUGUUACAUGCUUGCCAUGACAACAUUUACACUAAAAUGAUACUUCUGGUGGUUCUAACAUUAUUCGGUAAUUUUUGUGUCCCAUGAGCUAAGGUGUAUCAGAAACUCAGAAUCUCCUGAAAAGCAUAAGCUCUACUUUAGGCCCUCAUUCAAGGUGGAUAGAAUAUUCCAAUCCACCCCUGUUUGUAAACUUGUAAAUUAUGUAGCAAUCAGAUGCUAUAGAAUACCUCCUGUAGGAUGCUAUGAUUGCACAAGUUAGUUGUUUUAAUUCUUUCCUUAAAUGUUGGUCAUAAAAAGGUUGUUUUUUA
Solanum pennellii is the source of this 706-nucleotide long non-coding RNA. RefSeq lists it as uncharacterized. NCBI's taxonomy places the organism in Eukaryota, Viridiplantae, Streptophyta, Magnoliopsida, Solanales, Solanaceae. The transcript is spliced from 2 exons. The record is from RefSeq and is a predicted model, not a curated record.